GUACAAGUCGCUCUCUUCCUCAGUGAAGCAUAAGUCAAGGUUGUUAAUAAUACAAAGAGUAAAUUAUAGAGUAUAAGGGCUAUAUGCAAGGCUAUGUGUAUAAAUUUUCCA
Long non-coding RNA from Melanotaenia boesemani (Boeseman's rainbowfish), 111 nucleotides. RefSeq lists it as uncharacterized. The transcript is spliced from 3 exons. NCBI's taxonomy places the organism in Eukaryota, Metazoa, Chordata, Actinopteri, Atheriniformes, Melanotaeniidae. The record is from RefSeq and is a predicted model, not a curated record.